Molecule: ribosomal RNA, 462 nt
Filed under: uncultured bacterium
Lineage: Bacteria
Description: partial 16S ribosomal RNA
Rfam family: Bacterial small subunit ribosomal RNA
Source: RNAcentral
AUGAACGUUAGCGGCGUGCCUGAUGCAUGCAAGUCGAACGGUUUGAUGGUUCGCAAGGAUUAUCGGACAGUGGCGAACGGCUGAGUAACGCGUAAGUAACCUACCUCCAAGUGGGGAAUAACCUGCCGAAAGGCAAGCUAAUACCGCAUAUGUUGGUAAAUGUAAGAUUUAUCAGUAAAGCCUUCGGGCGCUUAGAGAGGGGCUUGCGUCUGAUUAGCUAGUUGGUGGGGUAAUGGCCUACCAAGGCGAUGAUCAGUAGCUGGUCUGAGAGGACGACCAGCCAGACGGGGACUGAGAUACGGCCCUGACUCCUACGGGAGGCAGCAGCAAGGAAUUUUGCGCAAUGGGCGAAAGCCUGACGCAGCGACGGCGCGGGGGGGACGAAGGCCUUCGGGUUGUAAACCCCUUUUCACGAGGAAGAAAUAUGACGGUACUCGUGGAAUAAGUCUUGGCUAACUACGU